GGGCCAUUAACUCAGUUGGCAGAGUCGCGGACUUUUAAUCCGUUGGUCGAAGGUUCGAGUCCUUCAUGGCCCACCA
RNAcentral lists this transfer RNA (76 nucleotides) under Actinomycetes bacterium. Its description in RNAcentral is "tRNA-Lys". It matches the Rfam family "tRNA". From Rfam's summary of the family: Transfer RNA (tRNA) molecules are approximately 80 nucleotides in length. Lineage: Bacteria; Bacillati; Actinomycetota; Actinomycetes. The record is from RNAcentral.